GUUCUUAGUCGGAGCCGGCUUGGCCAUUGAUCGUUCCUCCACCGUCAAGUCGCGAGCCACGCAGUGCUGCCUUUUCGCCUGCUCUGCUCAGAUGUAAGGGAGGGAAUGGUUAAGCUUCCGCGAGAAUAGUUUGUUUCAAGCUGAAAAGAAUCACGGAAAGCGCGGCGAAACUUUUUAUCAUCGGUCUUUAUUCCAUCAUCCAACCAGAGUAGCAUGGAACAUGCUUCUUUCUCCUCUCUGUACCAUGCUGAAUUAGAACUGGUGGAUUACAGCCAGAGUUGGGCGCACACGAUUCGCCAACUUAAGAUGGAGAUGGCAGUCAUAUGCUCGGCCUCGACGAGAAGCAUCUAAAAGCAGAAAAAAAAAGGUUGCAGGAAUCUGCCCAACGCCCAGCAAAUCAGUCGAGGAUCAAGACACCUCGUCAGUUUGCAUGAACCGUGAUCGCAUGAACUACAACAACUGCCACCUGGGCACAAGUGCAAGAC
RNAcentral lists this ribosomal RNA (485 nucleotides) under Triticum aestivum (bread wheat). RNAcentral describes it as "partial small subunit ribosomal RNA". Lineage: Eukaryota; Viridiplantae; Streptophyta; Magnoliopsida; Poales; Poaceae. The record is from RNAcentral.